Molecule: ribosomal RNA, 485 nt
Filed under: uncultured bacterium
Lineage: Bacteria
Description: bacterial SSU rRNA
Rfam family: Bacterial small subunit ribosomal RNA
Source: RNAcentral
GAUGAACGCUAGCGGCAAGCCUAACACAUGCAAGUCGAACGGUAACUUUUGGUGCUUGCACCGAAAGACGAGUGGCGAACGGGUGCGUAACGCGUAUGCAAUCUACCUUUUACUAGGGUAUAGCCCGGAGAAAUUUGGAUUAAUCCCCUAUAAUAUCAUGAAUUCGCAUGAUUUUAUGAUUAAAGCUUCGGCGGUAAAAGAUGAGCAUGCGUCCUAUUAGUUAGUAGGUGAGGUAACGGCUCACCUAGACUACGAUAGGUAGGGGUCCUGAGAGGGAGAUCCCCCACACUGGUACUGAGACACGGACCAGACUCCUACGGGAGGCAGCAGUGAGGAAUAUUGGACAAUGGACGAAAGUCUGAUCCAGCUAUGCCGCGUGCAGGAUGACGGCCCUAUGGGUUGUAAACUGCUUUUAUACAGGAAGAAAAAAUCCGACGUGUCGGAUCUUGACGGUACUGUAAGAAUAAGGAUCGGCUAACUCCGUG